Molecule: long non-coding RNA, 1427 nt
Filed under: Androctonus crassicauda
Lineage: Eukaryota; Metazoa; Arthropoda; Arachnida; Scorpiones; Buthidae
Source: RNAcentral
GUUUAUUUUGUAAAUCUCUCAUUUCAUUGCAUAGUCUGUAUGUUCUCCAAAUUUAUAUAGGGAUAUUAGCAUUCUUAUAAUUUUUAGGAUAUUUAAUAAGUCUGUGGAUUAACAUGAGCCAGAUGCUAAGUUCUCUGUAUAUUGAUGUGUAGUAAUACCUUCCUCCUUCAUGCAUCUUCAUAUCUAAGAAUAAUACAUAACUAUUGUAAAAAUAGUUAUGUAUUAUUCUUAGAUAUCUUCAUAUAGAACAAUUCUGACUUAAGAAAAAAGAUAUAAAAAUUCCAUAAAAUUAUUGCUAAAAAAAAGAUAUGCAUUAUAUCUUCAACUUUAGCAGUCAUAAAAAUUUAUUUACAUAGCAGAUAUAGAAAAGAAGACAUUGUUCAGGGCUGUUUCUUAUAAGUUUCAACUUGUAAGAAACAGCCCUGAAUAAUGAGCAAUUUCAUAAAUGAUUAAAUAAAAGAAGAAAAUUAACUCAGACUUAAACAUCAUGCAUAUGACUCAUAAUUAUAUGUUAAAUUAAGAGUUGUAGGCAUAUGCACCCACAACUUUCAAUUUAGCAUUUUCUCUUGAGACAGCUUCACAUCAAUACAAUAUUUCAAUAAUCUGAAACAUUAUAAUUCAUCAAUAAUCCAAAACAUGCUUUCCAAUUACAUAAAUUUGUUCAUCUGUUUCAGAUUUACUCCAUUCAGUUUAAUCUUGCACUUUGUAUACUCCUUAUCACAUACACUCAUAGUUUUUGUCUUUCCUGUAUUGAUUUUCAUCUAUUAUUGUUUAUGUGCCUCAUUAAAUCAUGCAGUGAGCUCUCUCAAGCAUUUUAUUCUCGUACAGAUAGGCAAAUAGUGUCAUCAACAUAUAGCAGACAGCAAACAUUCAUUAGUCAAUCAAUUAUUUUAACUGUCCAUUAUAGAUCAUUUGACAACAAAAUGCAAUAGGAUGGUAGGACACAGUUGCAUCAGAUGACAUAAUGUAGUAGUUCUCUGCAUUCAUUUUAAUCUAUGUAAUAAGUUCAGCUUGUAAGCAAUCAAUUUAUAUGUUACAGUAAAAGUGAUUGAUCCAGUGAUUAUGCAUAAUCCCCAGUUAUUAUGUAUAAUCAAUGAUUUCAGUAAAUUUGAUAAAUUUAUUUUGUAUAUUGCGAAUGAAUCACAUUUGCUGGUGAUUAUGCAUAAUUGACAGUUUGUACUGGUAAAUAUGAUAAAUUGUGCUUAAUUAAUCAAAUUUACCAAACAUUAUGCAUAAUUGCCAGUCUAGAAUGUAAAUUUAAUAAAUAAUGCAUUUUCGUCAAAUAACCUUUAUUUUAACUGUCCAUUAUGGAUCAUUUGGCAACAAAAUGCAAUAGGAUGGUAGGACACGAUUACAUCAGAUGACAUAUUGUAGUAGUUCUCUGCAUUCAUUUUUCAUUUAUGUAAUAAGUUUAGCUUUAAGCAAUC